RNAcentral lists this ribosomal RNA (405 nucleotides) under uncultured bacterium. RNAcentral describes it as "partial 16S ribosomal RNA". It matches the Rfam family "Bacterial small subunit ribosomal RNA", at positions 28 to 526 of the family's 1533-position model. The record is from RNAcentral.
GAUGAACGCUGGCGGCGUGCCUAAUACAUGCAAGUCGAGCGAAGCGGGGACGGGUGAGUAACACGUGGCUAAUCUCCUCUAAGACUGGGAUAACUUCGGGAAACCGCAGCUAAACCGGAUACUUAUUAAUGGGUACGGGCUGCAGUAGCUAGUAGGUAAGGUAACGGCUUACCAAGGCUACGAUGCAUCGCCGACCUGAGAGGGUGAUCGGCCACACGGGAACUGAGACACUGUCCAGACUCCUACGGGAGGCAGCAGUAGGGAAUCUUCCGCAAUGGGCGAAAGCCUGACGGAGCAACGCCGCGUGAGUGAGGCAGGGCUUCGGAUCGUAAAACUCGGUUAUUAGGGAAGCGGUACCUAAUCAGAAAGCCACGGCUAACUACGUGCCAGCAGCCGCGGUAAUAC